RNAcentral lists this long non-coding RNA (4957 nucleotides) under Homo sapiens (human). Its description in RNAcentral is "long non-coding RNA NONHSAT222547.1". Lineage: Eukaryota; Metazoa; Chordata; Mammalia; Primates; Hominidae. The record is from RNAcentral.
UGGAAGCAAACAGAAUGUAACCUUUGGGAGUGUCUUCUUUCACUCAGCACAAUGCCUUUGAGAUUCAUCCACGUUGUUGUUUGCAUUGAUAUUUCAUUCCUUUUCUUGCUGGGUAGUAUUCUGUGGUAUUGACAGCCACAGUGUGUUUAUUCACCCAUUGGAGGACAUCUGGGUAGUUUUCAGUUCUUGGCAAUUAUAAGUAGAGCUGCUAUUAAGCACUCCUGUACCAGUCUCUGUGGGAAUGUAAAUUUUCAUUUCUCUAGGGGUGGAAUUUCUGGAUCAUAUGCUGGCUGAAAUGCAAUGAUUCCCAGGGAAACUUGGAACCCAUGUGUUGAAGGUGGUAGCACUUCCAUCAGCCUGGGUCCUGAAUGCCUGCAGGAGAAUAUCCUUUUGAUCCAUGUACCUGCCGAGGACUGAUAGAAGAGAGCUGUCAUGUUUGAAAACAGAAGUGAAGAUAUCCCUGGAGAGUUAGUGAAGGUCAUUGAUGGAAGCUCCAGGAGAGAGUGGGGAUAAUGGAAGGAAUAAAGUUAUCCACAUCUCAUCUUAAAGCUAGCAUCUUUAAUACAGUAUAACCAAGAUGAUUCCUGAAGGAAUACUCCACCUGAACUCAAGAGUAGUUGCUUACCAAGAAGAAGCAGUUCAAUUGUUCCUAAAACAUAUAAUUUGUCUAUCUGUAUAGUUCGACUUUUAGAUAAGGAUUAUAAUUUUCAAAUAUUAACUAUUUUCCAUUUAUGUAUCUAGAAGGAACAGCUGAACUAAUAUAAAAGCAUAUGUUUUGUGGACAUUGUCACAUAAUAGUUUGCCUAUCCACUACAGCUCAAAUUUCCAGGAAAAGAUUGUUUCAGUUUUCAACCAUUAACUUUAUCUUCCAUGCCUAUGUAUCUUAGCAUCUCCAAAUCUUAAGCAAAGAGAGAAAAUUAAAAAGGAUGUAAGUUGUUCUCAAGGACAUAAUCCUUAGGGUGAUGGAAAUGUUCUGUGUCUUGAUUGUAGUGGGGGUUAUACAACUAUAUGUGUAUGUCAAAAUUCAUAGAGCUGUACAACUAAAAAGGGUGAAAUUUACUGCCUGCAAAGGAUGCCUCAAUAAACCUGACGUAAAUCAAAGCCAAAAAAACCCAAAAUUCUUGAACACCUCCUCUGACAUUGUGGUAGGGUACGUAAGCACAUAAAAAAACAGAUUUCAGUCUUAAAGACUGAAAUAUGAAAGUAAAGUUCCAGUGUUAUCAUCUAAAUUACCAUAGAAAAAUUUUCCUAGGACACUUCGUUUCUGUUGUGCCUUAUCAGUGACAGCUCUUUGAACCCUUCGACCUGACCAGUUAGGAAAAGUACAAAGGAAGGGCCCUAUCUUUUAGCCAUCUUGUUGACUGGAUGCAGAAGGAAUACUUCCUUUAACCACUGGGGCAACAGUUAAGUUUGCUCAGAUACAAUCUCAUGCAGCAUGAUGUUUUUAAGAUAGUCUCUGUGAUUUUCCAGACUCUAGGUUGUGCUCGACAGAAACUCAGCUCCUGCCCAGACCCUUGCCUAGCUUGCAUCCUUGCUUCAUUCAGGUCUCUGCUCAAAUGUCCCUUGGCAGAAAGGCCUCCUUAUCAGCCCUAUUGCAAAUGACCAUAUUUGUGAAUUGGCUGCCUCUCUCACUAGACUGGAAGUUCCAUGAAGGCUUCAUCUUUUCUCUUAAGUUCCAUAGCCCCAGCACUAGAGCAGUGUUUGGCAUACAGUAGGUGUUCGCGAACCAUUUAAAGUGAAGAGGAGAAUCGAUUGGCCUCUGAAUCUAAACCACAGUAAAAGGGAGGAAUAAUUAGAACUAGGGACUUGAAUGCACGCAGAGUUCACUUUGGUCAUUCACCUGCCAUUCUCUCUGGUGUCUCCUUCCUACUCUCAAUGAUCCACAUAGUGGCUGCCUUGGAACCUCCAGGCUUAUCAUAUCACAACUCCACAAUCAGAGGGGAAACAGUCUUUCUCGCUCAGCUCCAGGUUGCAUAACCCCGGGAAAUGUUCUGAUUGGCCUGUCUCCCAGUGACAUACAGAGGAGGCCAGGACUGAGCCACAGUGUAUCUGCUCUUUUCCUCAUUUCUCACUCUCCAAUCCUGCCUGCUCCAUCUAUUUUGGUGAUGUUGCCCCAGUUUUAAUAAUGAUGCUUUACAGCCCAUUGCAGAUGCUGUUAGAACUCUGCCAUUAUCCCCCUGGAUCCCUUUAGUAUUUUUGCUCACACCUGCUUCCUGCAUGACAUGCAUUCGCUCUCAACAGCAACACCUGCCGAUCCUUGCUGGCGGGCUGCCCUAGGCUACUAGCACCUGCUUUGCCUGUGCAAUAAGAGAGUUCGAAGUGCCUCUAGGGGUAGCCCUUGACUGAUGACUGACAGCCUAGGAGUAUAAACGCUGCAGUCCCUUUACUCAUGAUGGAAACAACUCUGAGAUGUGACCUCCACAUGUCCCCAGAACUCCCUCAGCAUGGAGCCUAAGUUACCCUCCAUGGGGAUUUGCUGGAUGCUGCACCCUUGCUUGGCCUCCUUCCCAUCCCAGUCCCACUUCCCAUUCUCUACUUGGGAAUAUCUACUAAAUAAAUAACUUUCACAUGAAUUUGCAGUCUUCAUCCGGAGAACCCCACCUACAACAAGCUCCAUCUUUGCCCCUAGCUCUCCACCUAUUUGUCAUAAGAUUUUUUUUGAGGGCAGGUACCUUGGCAUAGUUUCCUGCCUCCCCUCCACACAUAUGCACUACAGAAAUGUUUACUUAUUUGCUUUUAAUAUGUUCCUAUCCUUAGAGUUCCUUCCUAUUUUCCAGGUUUCCCUGUUUCAACUAUCAUUGCUUCUCAGAUAUGCUAAUUUUCUUGCUUUGCUUAUUACUGAUGGCUUGUCUAUCUGCCCUCUCUAAUUCAACAUGUUAAACAUUCCUAAGUCAUAAGUCAAAUACCAUAUGUUCUCACCUAUAGGUGGGAGCUAAGCUCUGGGUAUGCAUAGACAUACAGAGUAGUAUAAUGGACAUUGGAGACUCAGAAGGGAAGGGUGGGAGGGGGACGAGGGAUAAAAACUAUAUAUUGGGUACAAUGUACACUAUUCUGGUGACAGGUACAAUCAAAUCUCAGACUUCACCGCUAUACAAUGCAUCUAUGUAACCAAAACCCCCUUGCACCUCAAAAGCUAUUGAAAUUAAAACAAAAAAACUAUUACUAACAUGGAGACAAACUAAUUUCUUUGAAAAAUGUAAACCAUUUAAAAGGCAAAUAUUACCAAAUCUAUUCACCAUCUUCCUUAUCUGGCCUUGAAGGACUAUUUAUGCACUAUUUAACCCAGUUGACCUGACCAGUGGACCUGGUUUUCCACAGAAGUGGCUAGAUUCUUUGAAGUUAAUGUUGGACUUGAUUUUUUAAAAGCAGGCCCUGAAAAAUUUUAAAGGACUAUAUGUCCAGAAUAUUAUAAAAUCAACAAAAAGAAACAUUCCUUGUAUUUUCCUCUUAUUUUCUAUACCUUUCUUCUAUGUUUUGCAUUAGGUGCUUGCUCAAGAUCUCAGUCAUGCUUUGACUCAGUUUAACAGUCAAAUCAUUACUAAUCGUACUACCUUUUCAUAGUUCACACUUCUAAAAUAUUAACUUGUAAAAGAAGGAAUGCGAUAAAGCCAUCAGAACACCAAGUGGUGUCUUUAUUUCUUAAUCAUUUUCUAAAACAUUACUUAAUUCAGUUGAAUUCAGAGAAACUUUUAGUAAUUCUUAUCAGAUGAAUUUAUAUACAUACCAUUGUGGAAAAUAAAAUAACUUGUGAGCAUCUUUGAUACAGCCUCAAUCAACAUUGAUGUUGAAACCAGAGGCUGUAAGUUUCAAAUAGCAGUUUAUGAGAAAACAUGGAGAGAAAUUUUAAGAUGUUGGCGUGAACACUUCUGACAAUGUAAAACACUCGGCUAACCAUUGCCCUUUGCUUCGACAGAUAAGAAGUUUAGCAAAUAUUUACAUACCAGUUUUCACAACAUUUAAGCUAAAUUUUUACUUCUAUGUAUUGUCAUUAUAAGGUUUAACUUCUAAGACUGUUUACUAAAAAGGGCAAAGAGCAUUUUUAUAAUAUUGCAAGGUCUGUCUUAAUAACUCCAAAGACUGCUGACUUGUAACCCUGAGACUGAAUGUUUAUUACAGGAAGCUGCAUGUUAGAAUGUUUGAGGUAGAAAAUUGUGCUUGUUUGCUUCAACUUGUAAACUACGUUUUUCAUAAAAGGUUGAUUUGACUCACCAACUCUUUGAUAAUUGUCCUACCAUUUUUGACCUCACUGAUCCAGCUCUAAUUAACUCAACAAAUAAAAGAGAAUGUGCAGAUUAGUUUGGAAUUAAGGACAUAGCUGAAGGCAUUCCUUGGGAAAAGUGAUUUUGCCAACAAAAUAAAUACUCUAACAAAAGAAUGUUAAAACACCAAUACAGAUCACAUCACUCUUCAUAAAACCCCCAAACUGGAAGCUAUCCAAAUACUGCCUGACAAUAGUAGGUUGGAUAAAUAUACUGUGGUAUAUUUAUAGAAUGGAAUAUUAUAAAGAAAUGAGAAUGCUCUGCAAUCAGGCACAAUGACAUAGAUGGCUCUCAUAAACAAAAUGUUGAGCGAAAGAAGCCAGACACAAAUGAGAACAUACCAUAUGCUUUCAUUCAUUAAAAGUUCAAAAACAGACAAAAGUAAUUUAUGGUAUUGUGUUGGGAUAAUGCUUAUCUUGGGGUAGUAAGGCCUGAAAGGAGGCAUAAUGGGGGAUUCUGGAGAGCUGAUAUGGUUCUAUUUCUUGAGUUACAUAUUUAUUUGAGUAUUUUUCUAUAUGUUAUCCUUCAAUAAAUGCUAUUAAAACCCCCAUGCUAUACAGAACCUUUAUUUUCAAUGGCGUUAUCUACUUUCCAAAAGAAUUUGAGUAGUCUUUCAGAUCGAGGAAGGGUGCUAGAUGCUGCUGUGAACGUUGAUAAAAGCAGGCUCGGUCCUUAAAGACCUUGUGGUAUGAUGGGAG